GUGCUCACUUCAGCAGCACAUAUACUAAAAUUGGAACAAUAUAGAGAAGAUUAGCAUAGCCCCUGCACAAGAAUAACACACAAAUUGGGGAAGUGUUUCAUUAAAAA
This 107-nucleotide small nuclear RNA is filed under the name Prolemur simus (greater bamboo lemur). The record is from RNAcentral. Lineage: Eukaryota; Metazoa; Chordata; Mammalia; Primates; Lemuridae.